GCUUUGUCAGGAGGAACAUCUUUCUACCCCUGGACUAAGCUAAAGCGAAUGAUUAGAGGCCCUAGUGUCGAAACAAUCUUAACCUAUUCCCAAACUUUAAAUGGGAAAGAACCUUUUUUGAUAUGUAGGUUGGGUUGUGAUAUAUUGUGAUCAGUAGUCCACUUUGGUAAGCAGAACUGGCGCUGUUGGUUGAACCA
This 197-nucleotide non-coding RNA is filed under the name Megaselia scalaris. Its description in RNAcentral is "eukaryotic large subunit ribosomal RNA". It matches the Rfam family "Eukaryotic large subunit ribosomal RNA", at positions 967 to 1170 of the family's 3401-position model. Lineage: Eukaryota; Metazoa; Arthropoda; Insecta; Diptera; Phoridae. The record is from Rfam by way of RNAcentral.